This is a long non-coding RNA of Oncorhynchus tshawytscha (Chinook salmon), 3412 nucleotides long. The record is from Ensembl. Lineage: Eukaryota; Metazoa; Chordata; Actinopteri; Salmoniformes; Salmonidae.
UUGGUACUUGAUGCCUCUCCCUCAGUAGUUUCCCUGUGUAGAGGGUUGAUAGAUUGGUACGUGAUGCCUCUCCCUCAGUAGUUUGCCUGUGUAGACGGUUGAUAGAUUGGUACAUGAUGCCUCUCCCUCAGUAGUUUGCCUGUGAAAACGGUUGAUAGAUUGGUACAUGAUGCCUCUCCCUCAGUAGUUUGCCUGUGUAGACGGUUGAUAGAUUGGUACAUGAUGCCUCUCCCUCAGUAGUUUGCCUGUGUAGACGGUUGAUAUAUUGGUAUGUGAUGCCUCUCCCUCAGUAGUUUCCCUGUGUAGACGGUUGAUAGAUUGGUACGUGAUGCCUCUCCCUCAGUUUCCCUGUGUAGACGGUUGAUAGAUUGGUACGUGAUUCCUCUCCCUCAGUUUCCCUGUGUAGACAGUUGAUAUAUUGGUAUGCGAUGCCUCUCCCUCAGUAGUUUCCCUGUGUAGACGGUUGAUAGAUUGGUACGUGAUGCCUCUCCCUCAGUUUCCCUGUGUAGACGGUUGAUAGAUUGGUACAUGAUGCCUCUCCCUCAGUAGUUUGCCUGUGUAGACGGUUGAUAGAUUGGUACAUGAUGCCUCUCCCUCAGUAGUUUGCCUGUGUAGACGGUUGAUAGAUUGGUACAUGAUGCCUCUCCCUCAGUAGUUUGCCUGUGUAGAUGGUUGAUAGAUUGGUACAUGAUGCCUCUCCCUCAGUAGUUUGCCUGUGUAGACGGUUGAUAGAUUGGUACAUGAUGCCUCUCCCUCAGUAGUUUGCCUGUGUAGACGGUUGAUAGAUUGGUACAUGAUGCCUCUCCCUCAGUAGUUUGCCUGUGUAGACGGUUGAUAGAUUGGUACAUGAUGCCUCUCCCUCAGUAGUUUGCCUGUGUAGAUGGUUGAUAGAUUGGCACAUGAUGCCUCUCCCUCAGUAGUUUGCCUGUGUAGAUGGUUGAUAGAAAGUUGUACUAAAUUAAUGUCUUCUUCCGUAGCUUGCUUAGCAUGCUCUCCCAUCAAGAAAAUGGAGUGUGGUGUGUGAAGAUGUGAUGUGUGAAGAUUUGAGGACGGGAAUUGGUGUGAAGAUUUGAGGACGGGAAUUGGUGUGAAGAUUUGAGGACGGGAAUUGGAUAUGUGUACCAAUAUGAAACUCCGGCUGGAUCUGAAAUUGAGGUGUACUCAAACAGUGUUUGUGGAGAUCUUAUGACUCCAAUAGCCUACUGUGGCAUGAACAAGCCUUUUGAGGCACAUCUCUCUGAUAAGGUGAUAAAUGUGAACAACAGUGCUGUCAUCCUCUCUGAAUGCCUGAAUCUGACAUUCACAUUCUUUCAUGUUCUCCAGGGCAAGGUGGAGGAGCGCCAUUUGUAUUACAUUGUUGCAGGGCAAGGUGGAGGAGUGCCAUUUGUAUUACAUUGUUGCAGGAAAUGGAGACAAAGCCAAAGCCACUGGCCACACAAAGGAAAUCACUGCUGGUGUUCUUGGUUCUGCUGCUGGGCAUUGCUGGUUUCUUAGUGUACAGAUAUGGCAACAUUCCUUGGAGAGACAAACAUCCCUUAGAUCGGCUGGGUCGGGACUACCUUAACACCAACAGGGAAAAACAAAGGUGAGUCAGACUCUGUCAACCUGAGGACAGUUUUAGUAGUUACGUGGUUUAAUGUGCUGAAGUGUUUCAUGUUACAUGACUAAAUAUCAGUUAUCAUGCCAGACAACAGCUUAGAGCAGCAAGAAGUAACACGUGUUGUUGUUUUAACUUCUCUAAGGGACAACGGAGAACCUGAUCCAGCUGCUGGGGACGCCGAGUCUCUCCGAUAUGCGCUUGUCUAUAAUCUAUAACUGCAUGUGUCCCUUUGAACCAUCAGGGACCAGGGGGAUGGGGUGGAAGAGGAGAGGGAGCCACCACACAGUCAGGAGACACAUGUUGAGUCCUCUCUGCUGAAUGGGCAUCUUGUGAACAGGUUAACCUUUCUCUGAGAAAGACCCUCAUUACUUCAUUACCGGUUGGGUUUCAUUAUCCUCAGUCAGAGCUGAUCCCAUGAGUCAUUGAUCCCACAGGUUUAAUAGAAAGACCCGUUUGUUUAACACGUGCUCCUUAUAUUCUAAUACCUGUAAUACCUAAUGAGCAUGGUAAAUGCUCAUGCAAGGAGAGAGAGGUGAGCCCAUUCAGCCAAUGGGCCGUGAGGGAACAGAUACUGAAUUCUCUCAGAAGAGAAAUGCUGGAUUUCAUUUUGAGACAGUUUGCUACAGCAGGAAAAUAAUCCUGCAGCAACAGGAAAUGUGAAUUGUUACGUGAGUUGAUAGAUUUUUCAUUAGGGCAAAUCAAAUCGGUCAUUUUAAGGUAGAAAUUACCAACUUUCAAUGCCCUUUUAAACUUUGAAUACACUACAGGUUUGCAUUUCCUGCUGUGCAGGAAAAUGCUCAGCAACCAAAGAGUGAUCAAUUUAAGAUCGUACCUCUGUAAUCUCACAAUGGGGCAUGUAAUAACGUUUGUCUUGUGGUGGAUCAAUGAUGAUGUCAGGUAAACUUCACUACAUAUUGAUACAUCCACAACUCAUUGGUAUAAUGUCACCAACCCCAUUUUCCCACGGUUCCUCUGUCUGUUUAGGGGACAGUAUUGUGGUGGAUCAUGAAUGUGAAUGUUGAUGUCUUAUUACUCCAACAGGGUUAACGAUGAGACUAAGGAAGCGACUCCUGGUGCACAGAGUCCAGGACCUCCUCAGACGAAUGGAGGACCUCCCAUGUCUGACAGGUUGGAGAACAACCCUGUUGGUCAGUGGAUGAAGAAAACUGCUCUGGUGAACAAGCAGGACCAGGACUGGUCAGCAACGGCAUGAAGCCAGUUGAAAAUAUAUAGCAUAUAAGAUGAAACUAAGUGUAAAUAUAAUAAAAAAUAACAUGAUAUACACUGUAAUAUAGAACAGUAUAAUAUAAUAUGACAUGAUAUAAUAUCGUAACACUUACUUGUAUAGUGUUAUAUAUUCUAAUGAAUGCAUUCUUAACAACAUGAAUGAUGCAUUAAUGCAUACAUAGGACAUAACUGUAUAGUAAAAUUAUAAUAUAAUACUGUGCUGGUAAGCUGCUAGCUGUGGGGUUGCCCCCAGCUGUGGUUUCUAUUAUUCAGAGUAUCUAAGCUCAACUUCAAAUCCAUAGUUUUUAGCUUAGUUCUUACCGUAAACUAGCACUUCUUAGAGACAAAGUUAUGGGACAUGCUGUAUAACUACUUACCAUUCUGAAGUGUAACAGUCAAGUUUAUAUGUAACAAUUGUUCAUCCCUUUUUUAAAUGUUUAUUUAUAUAUUUGUUUGCUUGAUUAGAUUGAAUUAGUAUGACUAAUGCAUUAUUUUACCCUCCCGUAUAGAGGGACAUUAUUUUACCCUCCUGUAUAGAGGGACAUUAUUUUACCCUCCUGUAUAGAGGGACAUUAUUUUACCCUC